GUCGACGGCAGCACAGGGAGCUUGCUCCCGGGUGGCGAGUGGCGCACGGGUGAGUAAUACAUCGGAACGUGUCCUGUUGUGGGGGAUAACUGCUCGAAAGGGUGGCUAAUACCGCAUGAGACCUGAGGGUGAAAGCGGGGGAUCGCAAGACCUCGCGCAAUUGGAGCGGCCGAUGCCCGAUUAGCUAGUUGGUGAGGUAAAGGCUCACCAAGGCGACGAUCGGUAGCUGGUCUGAGAGGACGACCAGCCACACUGGGACUGAGACACGGCCCAGACUCCUACGGGAGGCAGCAGUGGGGAAUUUUGGACAAUGGGGGCAACCCUGAUCCAGCCAUGCCGCGUGCGGGAUGAAGGCCUUCGGGUUGUAAACUGCUUUUGUCAGGGACGAAAAGGAUCGUGAUAAUACCAUGGUCUGCUGACGGUACCUGGAGAAUAAGCACCGGCUAACUACGUGCCAGCAGCCGCGGUAAUACGUAGGGUGCAAGCGUUAAUCGGAAUUACUGGGCGUAAAGCGUGCGCAGGCGGUUCUGUAAGACAGAUGUGAAAUCCCC
This 551-nucleotide ribosomal RNA is filed under the name uncultured bacterium. RNAcentral's name for it is "bacterial SSU rRNA". It matches the Rfam family "Bacterial small subunit ribosomal RNA", at positions 61 to 604 of the family's 1533-position model. The record is from RNAcentral.